This 442-nucleotide ribosomal RNA is filed under the name uncultured bacterium. RNAcentral describes it as "partial 16S ribosomal RNA". It matches the Rfam family "Bacterial small subunit ribosomal RNA", at positions 338 to 795 of the family's 1533-position model. The record is from RNAcentral.
CCUACGGGUGGCAGCAGUAGGGAAUCUUUCACAAUGGGCGAAAGCCUGAUGGAGCAACGCCGCGUGCAGGAUGAAGGCCUUCGGGUUGUAAACUGCUUUUAUAAGCGAGAAAUAUGAUGGUAACUUAUGAAUAAGGAUCGGCUAACUACGUGCCAGCAGCCGCGGUCAUACGUAGGAUCCGAGCAUUAUCCGGAGUGACUGGGUGUAAAGAGUUGGGUAGUGGGGAUGAUAAGUAGCUAGUGAAAUCUGGUGGCGCAACCAUUCAGACUAUUAGCUAAACUGUUAAGCUCGAGACCGUUAGGGGUAAGUGGAAAUUCUAGUGUAGGAGUGAAAUCCGGAGAUAUUAGAAGGAAAAACGAUAGCGUAGGCAGGUUACUGGGACGGUUCUGACACUAAGGCACGAAAGCGGAGGGAGCAAACGGGAUUAGAUAACCUUGUAGUC